Maylandia zebra (zebra mbuna) is the source of this 270-nucleotide non-coding RNA. The record is from RefSeq and is a predicted model, not a curated record. Lineage: Eukaryota; Metazoa; Chordata; Actinopteri; Cichliformes; Cichlidae.
GUCAAAGGCUACGAGCAUCUCAGAGCCCCUGAAGUCUCUGUGGGUUCCAUCACAGAGACCUGCUUCAGUGUGACCUAUGCUAAAGGGAGAAUGUGUUCUUCUCAGCAGACAUCAGUGGACGAGUCCUGCUCCAUCACAUAUCCCAGAGAAAUUCAUGUCCAGAGGACUCCUGCUGAACACAGAGGUCACAUCAGACUGACCUGUAACAGCAGCUGUUUUCUGACUGAGCCUCUGAUUUCCUUUGUGUGGUAUGAGACCAGAAAGCCUACA